GACUUAUUCAGAGAGGUGGAGGGACUGGCCCUAUGAAGCCCGGCAGCGGAUCUGUUCCAUGUGAUGGACAGAUGCUGUGCCAAUUCCAGCAGGAUUUUUUUUCCUGACAGAUAAGGA
RNAcentral lists this non-coding RNA (117 nucleotides) under Brevibacillus brevis. Its description in RNAcentral is "SAM-I sequence". It matches the Rfam family "SAM riboswitch aptamer (S box leader)". From Rfam's summary of the family: The SAM riboswitch is found upstream of a number of genes which code for proteins involved in methionine or cysteine biosynthesis in Gram-positive bacteria. The SAM riboswitch acts at the level of transcription termination control. RNAcentral also lists the same sequence under 1 other name. The record is from RNAcentral. Lineage: Bacteria; Bacillati; Bacillota; Bacilli; Caryophanales; Paenibacillaceae.